GUGGGGAAUUGCUGGCUCUGUAUAUUAGAGCAGAUAAGGGAAAGUGUUUGUUCUUUGUAACUCCUCUGCAACUGCUUUGCUCACCGCGGCCUUGAAGAUAACAGAAAAAAAGUAUGUGCUUGUUCUCCCUGAGAUAACAGAGUGCUUGCUAAUUAUCUUUGACUGUUUUCUCAGAGAAUUUUUUUUUUGCAAUUAUAUCCUGUGUAACAGUCUGUUUUUAAAAGCUUAUAUAAACUGCAUGAUUCUGUUUUGGAGGCAGAGACCUCUCUGUAGUGCUGGUGAAUCUAUGUCCUCUAAGCUCUCCCCCACGGUACUGCAGAUCUGAAUAAAGCUUCUACUGACCUGACCCCAAAGUCUACACGUGUUUUUCCACGACAGUUCUUGGUGCCGUGACUCGGAUCCAGAACACGUGUUAAGGAAGGAGGACAGUGGACCGUUCUCCACCGAACCCCGGGCACCAAACUUAAGAGGUCUGUUCAUUCACAGGUCCAAGAAGCCUUAUCUCAACCACCAGAUGUUCCCUGUCACAACCUUGAACCAGGUGAUUGGGUCUACGUAAAGGUCCAUCAGCAGAAAAACGUGCUUCAACCCAAAUGGAAAGGACCAUUCCAGGUGCUCCUGACCACUAACACUGCUGUUCGUUGCCAAGGUCACCAGACGUGAACUCACGCCUCGCACUGUAAAAAAGUAUCACCUCCAUUGGACCCCGAAACAACUGAAUUCCAAACAAGAUUAAGACCUUUCCCUGAGGCCAAGGACAAAGACCCUCAGGACCUCACUCAGGCAAGUGAGGAGCAUCAGGGUGCAAGUGCUAGUAACCUUUCCCCUGAACCCAUCACUUCAGCCCGGCCAGAUUCACCAAUUGUGGAACGAAGAUAUCAUCUCCGAUCCCACUGAAUAAUAUCCAAACAUGAAGUUUUUUUUUCUAUCUUGAUUGUUAAUGCCGAACUUUUGAGCUUAGCCUGUGGAAAUGUAUUUUUGUCUUUAGUUAAUCAAAUUAGAAUAGAUUUAAAUGUCUCCAGUUGUUGGAUAUGUAGUCAUGUUCCUAUCCAUUCCACCGGAGGAAUACCCAUGAUACCUGUACCCUUGAAUACAACUCAGAUGCUGGCCCCUUAUUAUUCAGAUUUCCAUGGAAACGAGACUUGACAAGACAUGAACUGCAAUUGGUCUGACUAUAUACAACUAGCCUAUGCUACUCCUGGAAAGUUUUGUUGGACCUGUAAUGGAUCACGUGUGGCAGUAGGAGGUAGCAAAUGCAAAGUAGAUUUUAAAGUAAAUGGUACUUGGCUUUCUAACGGUUCCUGGAUAUCUAAUUACUCCCCCCAGAGUAAAUUUUCCGGGUACUAUUUACAAUGGAUAAUGAAACCUCAAUGUAGCACCACCUUCACUGCACUAGCUGGUCAUUAUUUUGUAUGUAGAACCAAGGCUUAUAAAAAUCUUCCUUCUGGGUAGGAAGGAACGUGCUAUGUUUCUGCCACAUACCCCACUUUCACAAUUAGAUCACAUUUGCCAAAAGGAAAAAUUUGCAAUGUUCGCAAAAUUACUGAAAACCAAAGAUUUGGGGGUAUAAUGUUCCCCAAUUAUGGGGCAGGCUUAGCUAUGUCUGAAAUACAAAAGGUUGCAGUAUCCUUAGAAAAAAUAGCCAAUGCCACUGCCAUUGGGUUCCGUGAAAAAGUAAAGAAAUGAAAGAAAUGAGACAAAUGACUUUGCAAAAUAGACUUGCUCUAGACUAUAUAAUAGCCAGUAAAGGAGGAGUAUGUGCCCUGAUAAAGUCUGAAUGCUGUGUAUAUAUACCUAUGCCUCUAGUGCCAUUGAAAAUGAAGCUAAGAUUAUUGAAAAAGAAGUUGUCAAACUUCACCAAAUUAAUCAGUGGGAUAUGGAAGGAAUGUGGUCUUGGUUAACCUCCUGGUUCCCAAAUUUAGGAACCCUUGGCAAGAAAAUCCUGUAUGGAAUAUUGUUUGUCUUGAUAGUUCUGACAAUGUUUUAUGUCUUAGUGCAACUGAUCCUCUGCUGCGUGAAAGCCAGCAGGAGAAGCUUUAGCAAGGCAAGAAAACACACGGCAGAGUCUAGAAUAAUGGUGUUACAAAAGUGUGAGCAGAUUGAAAGAAAACAUGAAAGUCUGCAUGAUGAAAUAGAGGGACUCAUGAGAAUGGAAGUUUAAGGCUAAAGUGAGACUAAAUAGUCUCAAAGGGGAGACUGUGGAAUCAGAAAAAAUAAAUGCCUUAAACUUUGAUCAUACGACUUAUAAGAUGAGCGUAACAGCUUUGUGGGGAAUUGCUGGCUCUGUUCUAUUAGAGCAGAUAAGGGAAAGUGUUUGUUCUUUGUAACUCCUCUGCAACUGCUUCGCUCACCGCGGCCUUGAAGAUAGCAGAAAAAAAGUACGUGCUUGUUCUCCCUGAGAUAACAGAGUGUUUACUAAUUACCUUUGACUGUUUUCUCAGGGAAUUUUUUAUUUUUGCAAUUAUGUCCUGUGUAACAGUCUGUUUUUAAAAGCUUAUAUAAACUGCACGAUUCUGUUUUGGAGGCGGAGACCUCUCUGUAGUGCUGGUGAAUCCAUGUACUCUAAGCUCUCCCCCACAGUACUGCGGAUCUGAAUAAAGCUUCUACUGACCUGA
Alligator mississippiensis (American alligator) is the source of this 2615-nucleotide long non-coding RNA. RefSeq lists it as uncharacterized. The transcript has 2 exons. NCBI's taxonomy places the organism in Eukaryota, Metazoa, Chordata, Crocodylia, Alligatoridae. The record is from RefSeq and is a predicted model, not a curated record.